GAUGAACGCUAGCGGGAGGCCUAAUACAUGCAAGUCGAACGGUAACAGGAAUAGCAAUAUUUGCUGACGAGUGGCGUACGGGUGCGUAACACGUACACAAUCUGCCUUAUACUGGAGCAUACCCCCAAGAAAUUGGGACUAAUUCUCCAUAAUAUAUUUUGAGGGGCAUCCUUUGAAUAUUAAAAACUCCGGUGGUAUAAGAUGAGUGUGCGCCCGAUUAGAUAGUUGGUGAGGUAACGGCUCACCAAGUCAACGAUCGGUAGCUGGUCUGAGAGGACGAUCAGCCACACGGGCACUGAGACACGGGGCCCCGACUCCUACGGGAGGCAGCAGUAGGGAAUAUUGGACAAUGGGCGCAAGCCUGAUCCAGCCAUCCCGCGUGAAGGAUGAAGGUGCUCUGCAUUGUAAACUUCUAGUCGGCCGGGAAGAACCGGC
Molecule: ribosomal RNA, 435 nt
Filed under: uncultured bacterium
Lineage: Bacteria
Description: bacterial SSU rRNA
Rfam family: Bacterial small subunit ribosomal RNA
Source: RNAcentral